GACCUCGAAUUAGGUAAGAAUACCCGCUGAACUUAAGCA
Molecule: ribosomal RNA, 39 nt
Filed under: Phyllachora sp. XL-2017d
Lineage: Eukaryota; Fungi; Ascomycota; Sordariomycetes; Phyllachorales; Phyllachoraceae
Description: partial 28S ribosomal RNA
Source: RNAcentral